RNAcentral lists this long non-coding RNA (8202 nucleotides) under Sus scrofa (pig). RNAcentral describes it as "lncRNA (ENSSSCG00045030833.1)". Lineage: Eukaryota; Metazoa; Chordata; Mammalia; Artiodactyla; Suidae. The record is from RNAcentral.
UAUGGACAAAAUGCAGGCUGGCAUUAUAGCAUCUUUGCUGAUUGAUGGUUCUUUUCCUCUUUGUGUGUGUGUGUGUGUGUGUGUGGUGAUGGACUCGUCCCCUCUGCCCAUGGGAAUUCUUUGAAUUGUUCUACAAAACUUUUGUGCACCCACCACGUCCCCAAGAUUUCAAAGUGAAUAUGGCAGAGUCUCUGCUACCCAGGAGGUCACCGGGUAGCAGGCGUGUAAAUAGACAAGGAUAAAAUGGCACAGCCCUCCAAGGAGAUUCCUGGAGCAUUUGGAAGCAAUGAGCAGGUGACCUUGGUGAAUCAUCCCUGGAGUCAGAGGGGUUGGAGGGUAACUCAUGAAAAAGCCUCUUAAGAAAGAGUCCAUCAGGGAAGAUGAACAUGAAGAUGAAGUCUAGGAAGAACAUGUAGAUGAAGUCUAGGAAGAGAAGCAUGGGUUUUUCUCCUUUAUUGUCUCUCCCUCCCUCCUUCUCUGUCCCUCUUCCUCCCCCUCCCCUCUCCUCCCCUCUGCUCCCAUCCUCUCCUCUCCUCCUUUUCCUUCUUUUCCCUCAUCCCCCCUUCUCUAAGACGCAGAGAAUAGAACACUCACAGCUCAAAAUCAGGUUUUCUUAAGCAGUGGUCUAAUUGGGCCCUAGGAGAUUGGUCAAAGGGUGUUUUGUUUUUCUGGUAGAUCCUCAUGAAUGGAAUUCUUCAAUAGGCUUCAAAUCUCCUUCAUUAACAUGCAUUUCCUCUCCCUCCCUGAAUACCUGCUCCCAACUCCAGGGCUGCCCGGCCCAGCAUUUGUCUCUGGAACUCAAGUGCCUACAGAUGUACAAUGAGAAACUUCAAGAGUGUGUGAAGUCAGGCCUGCGUGUCCUUCGAAGAAACUGUUCCCGGGAAGGCUGGUCCUCAGAAUGACGUCCGCUGUAUGGCCUCUCAGAGGGUGGAAGCAGCUUCCUCCAAGUUAGGUUCUGACUAAGCAAGGCCCAAUGAUGAAAGUUACUGCUUGUUACACACCAACUCUGCCCCAGACCCUGUGCUCUGUGCCUUAUCCAAAUUACCCCUGAAUCCUCACCGCAACAUGUGGGAGAAAGUGAGUAUCCUGGUCCCCACUGACACGUGAGAAGAGUGAGGCUGAACAAGGUCAAAGAAUGUGCCAAGGUCACAGGGCUGGCAAAUGGCAGAGCCUAGACUUGAAUAAGGGUCUAGAUGAUGCACUGCCUGUUACAGGUGCAGGUGAAGAGCAAGGACAGAGAGCAUCGGUUCGGCCCCCUCCCCUGCCCUGGUCCCUGAGCCAGGGCAGAGCAAGAGAGCCAUGACCUUAGACCUUCUCCUACCAAGGACUAUAGGUACUGCUCUCCCCCAGCCUCUGCAGAAGGUUCCUGGGGGUUCCAGGGAAAAACCAGAUCUGUGGCAAGGAAUAGUCAGGUGAAUAGAUGACUUUUGCCCACAGAGAUAGAAUUGUUCUCCUAGAGAACACCAGUCAUCCCAGGUGUUGUGGACUGAAUUCUUUCUUCCCAAAGUCCUGACCCCAGUAGCUAUGAAUGUGACUUUAUUCGGACAUAAGCUCUUUGCAGAUGAUCGGGUAAAGAUGAGGUCAUUAGGAGUUCCCAUCGUGGCUCAGCAGUAACGAACACGACUAGUAUCCAUGAGGAAGCAAGUUCAAUCCCUGACCUUGUUCAGUGUGUUGAGGAUCCAGUGUUGCUGUGAGCUGCUGUGUAGGUCACAGAUCUGGUGUUGCUGUGGCUGUGGUAUAGGCUGGCAGCUGUAGCUCCCUUUUGACCCCUAGCCUGUGAACUUCCAUAUGCCUCAGGUGUGGCCCUUAAAAAAACAAAGGUGACGUCAUCGGGGUGAACCCCAAUCCACUAUGACUUGUGUUCUUAUGAAGAGAAGAAAUUUGCACACAGAGACAAAGACACACAGGGAGAUCACUGUGUGAACAUGAAGACUGAGAUGGGCUGAUGUGCCCCAAUAACUAUCAACAAACUAGCAGAAGCUGAAAGAUAGAACCAACCCUACCAAGACCCUCAUUUUGGACUUUCAGCCUCCAGAGCUGUGACACAAUACAUUUCUGUUGUUUAAGCCACCCAGCUUGUGGUACUUUGUCAUGACAGCCCUAGGAAACAGAUACACCAGAGCUCCUGGCAUGUGUGUCCUGACCAAAGGCCUGGACUGAGAAACUCCGGGCAGCCCUGGUGCCAUCGCCUGACUUGAAGGGGCCCAACACUGCUGUCUGGGCCAUGAGAGGCCAGUAAGUGCAUGGCCGUGAUCCAGGACUGGAUCCCCGCUGUGUUAAGUAAGCACUACAGCUCCUCUUCCAAGUGGUGGGGUCCCUGGUUACAAAGAGCCAGAUGGAAAUCCAAUUGCACUCUCAAGGCUGCUGCAGGGGAGGGUGGUGUUUUUGUCCUAUGCUGUUCCAGGGACAAUUAGCGUCUGAAGAUUAGAUUCAUAAUGGCCCAUUCAUUUUCUCUGCUCGUCACUGGUGUCUGGCAGAGAAUUGGAAUUCUUAAUCCCUCUCGCUCUAAGUGAAUGCAUAUUGAACUGUUUUGACAGCUUCGAAAUUUCAUUGCAGAUUCUUGAUGACUUCCCAUGUCAGGAUCAAUUUGCAGCCUUGUUUUCUCAGCUGAUUAGGUCCCAUCCAAUUUUCUUGAGCCAGGCUUUCAGAGGAUCUGGCUUCUUCCAUCUCUACCACAAAGGGGUGCUGGGUAGGGAUGGUCUGGGGGAGGCUGGGUUUAAGAUCUGAUAUCUGGAACCCCUGAACCCACCAGGACUCCUGUUUGUUCAAGAAACAGUGAGCUUGCUAUUAAAAAAAAAAAAAUUACAUAAUGCAGCUUUGGCAGGGAUUCCGUGAGAAGUUAGCGAGGAUGUACACAGAGCUUCUAGCUCAGGCUGGAUAGAAGAUGAAGAAUGAAGGAUGAGCACGUGCAUGGGAUGGUCAUGUUGCUUCUGUGCACACCGCAGCUUGACCAUUUAACUCUCAAUAGGACUUUGGGCCAGUAAUUCACACUUUCCUAGGUUUCGUCUUCACUAACACGGGGAUCAUGGUGAUAGAAACCUCACAGGAUUGAGGUGAAGAUUAAAUGAAACAGUACACAUAAAAUGUCUUUGCUCGGUGCCUGCAGCAUACUAAGUGGUCAACAAAUAUUAGCUUUGCAGCAAAGUUCCUCAUGGAAAAAAGAUAAUUUCUCUUCCUUCCCCUUCUCCUCCCUCUCCUCCUUCUCCCGUUUUCUGUCUUUGUCUGAGAAAGGCUACAGCACUAUCCAACAGAAAUAUGGGGAGAGCCACACGUGUCAUUUUAAGUUUUCCAAUAGCUAUGUUUAAAAAGUACGAAGGAACAGGUGAAAUGAAUUUUGAUAACAUUUUAUAUAAAACAAUAACUAGAAUAUAUGAUCAUGUCAACAUGCAAUCCUUGUAAACACUAUUAAUGAACUACUUUACGUUGUCUUUCUCUGAGUGACUUCACAAGCCAGUGUGGAUGUCAUGCUAACACUGCCUCUCACUCCAGAAUGGCCACAUUUCAAGUGUUUGAUUAGCCACGUGGGGCUGUUGGCUAGGAUACUGGACAGCACAUCUCUAGAUGUGCUGGAGCUUGCAAUUCCCCUAGAACUUUCCCACUUGUCCCAUCUUGUUCUCCAGUCCCUCCCAUCUGUAGCCCAGGAGGGCCCACCUGAAGGUUCUGUAGCAUCAGUUCCAGCCUGAGGUCAGAAGGACAGGAGCAGUCCCACUGUGGGGGUGGGGCACUUGGAAUCAAGCCACUGUCUACAGAUCCCGGAUCAAGUGACCAGGCGUUGGCCACCAGGCUCUGUAGGUGCCCAUCCCCUUCCCCAUCACAUGGCCUUCUGAGCUUCCCAUGUGGCUGGCCAGUCCCAGGACCUGGUGGCCUUGCCAUGAGUCUAGCUCUCCGAUGGCCCCCCAGCUGAUGCAGCACUUGCACCCCGCAGACAGGCUCAGUCACUCCCGAGUCUCCCUCAGAGCCCCCUCUUCCCACUAGGGGAGAGUGUAGCGUUGACUGCCUGAUACGGACAAAUUGUGUACCCUUGAAAUUCCAGUACCUGAGAAUGCAGCUGUACUUGGAAACAGAGCCUUUGAAGGGGUGAUUAAGGUGAAAUGAGGCCGUUAGAGUGGGCCUUGAUCCAAACCGAUGGGUGUCCUAAUACAGAAAAGGAGAUUGGGGAGUUCCCGUUGUGGCGCAGUGGUUAACGAAUCCGACUAGGAACCAUGAGGUUGCGGGUUCGGUCCAUGCCCUUACUCAGUGGGUUAACGAUCCGGCGUUGCUGUGGGCUGUGGUGUAGGUUGCAGAUGCGGCUCGGAUCCUGCGUUGCUGUGGCUCUGGCGUAGGCCAGCGGCUACAGCUCCGAUUAGACCCGUAGCCUGGGAACCUCCAUAUGCCGCGGAAGCGGCCCAAAGAAAUAGCAAAAAGACCAAAAAAAAAAAAAAAAAAAAAAAGAAAAGGAGAUUGGGGCAUACAGGGAGAGAGCCCAGAGAUGCACACACACAGAGAAGGCCAUAUGAGGGCACAGCCAACAUGUGGCCACAGAGGCCUCAGGGGGAACCAAACAUAUUGACACCUUGCUGGUGGAUUUAUGGCCACCAAGCCUGUGAGAAAGGAAGCUCCCAUUGCUGCAGCCACGCAGCCUGUGGUCUUUAGUGAUGGCAACCUGAGCUGGCCCACACGCUGGCCACCGAUUUGGAAGCAGACCCUUGCUCUGUGCUCUGCUGCGGUGCCUGGCCACCUGCCCCACAGGGGAACCAUUUCCGGGGACAGCCCUGUGCCUCCCUGAUCAGAACUACCAUCAGAUCCAAGGGAGAGGGCCUGCUGGCCUGGCUUCCAUAGCCAACAUUGCCUGUCUGGCCCUGUCUGGCCCUGCCGGGCUGCACCCUUCCCAGAGCAGGAACCCACUGGACCGAAGGACUGUGUCUCCCGGAGCUUAUGUUCUCUGUUCUGUCAAUCCGAAAAAUGUCUGAGACCCAGAAUCCUGGCACUCCCUGCCCAGAGCUUGGGUUGCUCUCCCAGGCCUGUUCUCUGAAGGUAUCUGUCACUCAUGCGCUCAGAUGGUAGCCUAGAGUUGGCUGCUAAUGUAGGGUGUGGAUGAAGCCUGGACAGGUGGGCUGGGUAUCCACAGAGGGCACCCAAGGCCCCUGACUUUGAAGUGCCCAGCAGGGAUGGGGGCGGGAAGGGAGGGGUGGGGGCAGGGCGGCUCUCCCUGUGAUGUCCACGUGUCAGUGCAGAACUCCAAGAAGUCCAAGAAUUCUGCCUCUGAAACUGGCCCUCCAGUGACACUGCCAUCUCUUUGUCUAGGAGGAGGGGUACAACAUGUUUUGUUUAGCACUUUGUAAGCUGCCUUUCAAAUGUCUGAAUAUGAGAGUUCCUGUUGUGGUUCAGCAGGUUAACAACCGGACAUAGUGUCCCUGAGGACAGAGGUUCGACCCCUGGCCUCGCUCAGUGGGUUAAGGAUCCGGUGUUGCCACAAGCUGUGGCGCAGGUAGAGAUGCGGCUUGGAUCUGGUGUUGCUGUGGCUGUGGCUGUGGCCUCAGCUGCAGCUAUGAUUUGACUCCUACUCCAGGAACUUCCAUAUGCUGCAGAUGCAGUGGCACAAAGGAAAAAAAUGAAAUAAAAUAAAAUAAAAGUAUCUGGAUAUGCAGACACAGAGACCUCCAUUCGUGCUCUUGCUCUUGGAUUCUCCCACGUGAAGGAUGGGCUGCUCCUGCAACCUGAGGACAAACUUCCUCCCAUCAUGGGCUCUCCCCACCACCGCACACUACUAUGGUCUAAACAUGUGCCCUGAAAAUUCACGUGUUGAAGACCUAAUGCCCAGGGUGAUGGUGUUGGGAGGUGGGGCCUUUUAGGAGGUGAUGAGGUCCUGAGAGUGGAGCCCUCAUGAGUGGGGAUUCAUUCUUUUAUAAAAGAGGCCCCGGCCUAGCCCCUCCUACCAAGUGUGAACACAAUGAGAAGUCUGCGACCUGAAAAUCACCUGACCAUGCUGGUACCCUGAUCGCAGACUUCCAGCCUCCAAAUCUGUAGCAAUAUAUUUCUGUUUUUUCAUCAGCCAUCCAGUCCCUGGUUUGGUUUUACCAGCCUGAAUGGACCAAGACACACAUCUCCAUCUGAUGGAAAUCUUAUGUCAUCCAUGCGGUCAUUGGCCUGGGCUGCUCUGUCCCAUGACUGUGCUUGGCUUUCCCAGCUGGAUGUUCGAGACUGUGCUAACCUGUCCCCCUGCCACUUGUCUUCUGCUCAGGUUCCAGAAGUUUGGAGAAGAGAGGCCACAUGUAUGCCCCUGCUGGAGAUGACUAGGUGCUUUGGAGGAAUGAAGGGGGCAGAAGGAAAUCCCAGGAUCCCCAGCCUCCUCUGGCUUCUCCCAGACUUGACUUCUUCUAAGUGCCAAAACCCUCCCAUUCUGAUCAGGACACUGACUUCAGCUUCAUAAAGAAGACACAGCGGUGAAGUUAACUGCUGCAGGUUGGCAAAUUAUAUGGUUAUUUGGCCCUCAGAUUUCUGGUGAUUCCCAUGAAAGACCUUGUAUAAUAGUCAUAUACUUUCUCCUCUAUUGUCUAUUAAUUUUUAGAAUGGCUAUCUUGGACUGGAGCUUGUCGCUCUCAUCUUGUACCAUAAAGGCUGCAAAAGUAACUCAAAUUUGCUAAAAAUCCUAGAUAUUACUCUUGAGUCAAGUCCCAAGAGAAGAUGGUCAACAGUUCCACUAAUAAUGCCACCGUUGCAUGGGAAGGGUUGCCAUCUUCCCAGACAAGGAGAGGAAGGUGAGCCCACCCUCACUUCUCUCCUCUCCUCACCACACCCCUUUUCUCUGACAUCCUGGUAACUGAAAAACUCCAGGCUGCCAGCAACUUCUGCAUUAGUGAAGUUUCGUUUGGUCGACAAUAGCAGAGAUGGACCACAGCUAGCUUAACGUAGAGAGGACAUUUAUUGAUGGGCAACUAGGUAAUGAUGUGGAGACCAAGGAAGAACUGAACGGCCAUGCCUUGAGAUGGACAGGGACCCGGGCAGACCCAGGGGUCCUGGUUGGAGGGAUCCAUGAGAUUUCACUCUGGAGGACUCUUAACAUAGCUCAGGUUAAAAGUGCUCAGGUGCUGUCUCUCAGUACAAGAUUGAGACUCUUGGUUCGGAUGAUCUAAUGGCUUAGCUUGAGUCAGAUGCCUACCUGCAGCCCAUGAAGCAGAAUUACCUGGUACAGACAGAGCUGAGGGGUCUUCUCACGUCUAGCGGGUCCAGCUCCUGGAGAAUGGGCGAUUGUGGUGAGCCAGGCAGUCACCCGAAGAGGUCUACACACACUUAGAGUUAGAUGGGCUUCGUGUGGUUGUUGUUAUCUCUCUUCUAAAUCUUUACAAGAAACUCUUUUGGCUUUUUCCUUCAAUUUUCGAACUAUAAUGUAACUGUAAACACCAUAGAUACAAUUCACUCUCUCAUUAAGUGGAAUUCCAGGCUUACUUCCUGUUUCCUUUAAAUUUCAACUUCUCCAUGUGUUUAAUUUAUCUGUCUGUCUACAGGAAAGUUUUGAGUAAUUUUUGCAAAAGAAGGUAUCUGAUGUAGGGUUUGUAGUCAUGUGUUUAUCUAUGAUGCCAUUCUUUGCUUUCUCAUAUUAAAAAAAUUAUUUUAUUUAGAAUUCUUUCCCCCCAAAAAAAUUCUGCAAAAACUUUUAUUAUCUUCUGGGAUUUAAUGUUGUGAAGGGUAAGUCUGAACCAGCUGAUUUCCCUUCUUGUUGGAAACCUAAUUUUUCUGCCUGGGUAUGACUCUGACUUUUUUCAUUAUCUUUGAAGGGUUUUUUUGUGUUGGUGGUAGCACCGGUGUUUGGUUGGUUGGUUGGUUGCUUGGUUCAAGGAGAACUAGGAAAGGUGGAAUGAUGGCUUUGAAAUGUUCUCCUGAGCUAGAAUACUCUCCCAGAUGAGAGCAACAGGGAGGGAAGGUAAUUAAGGACAGUAUUUACUUAUCUACACAGACAUUUAAGAAUUUGAGGGUGUUCCCAUUGUGGCGCAGCAGAAACGCAUCUGACUAGGAACCAUGAGGUUUGAUCCCUGGCCUCGCUCAGUGGGUUAAGGAUCUGGCGUUGCCGUGAGCUAUGGUGUAGUCACAGAACACAGCUCGGAUCCUGCAUUUCUGUGGCUGUGGCUGUGGUGUAGGCCAGCAGCUGUAGCUUCAAUUUGACCCCUAGUCUGGGAACCUCCAUAUGCCACAAGUAAGGCCCUAAAAAGAAAAAAAAAAAAAAAA